UGAUGACGUUCCCUAUGCAUUUCGAAGAAUAAAUGUAUGGUUUUAGUUCAUCAGAGAGAAAAGUGAAUUCUUCACCCACCCUCGACUUUCACAGUUGGUACUGUGCCGUGCGGGGAUGGAUUUGCGGGUUCAGACACUU
Molecule: non-coding RNA, 139 nt
Organism: Lingula anatina
Lineage: Eukaryota; Metazoa; Brachiopoda; Lingulata; Lingulida; Lingulidae
Source: Rfam